Molecule: ribosomal RNA, 987 nt
Filed under: uncultured Verrucomicrobiota bacterium
Lineage: Bacteria; Pseudomonadati; Verrucomicrobiota
Description: bacterial SSU rRNA
Rfam family: Bacterial small subunit ribosomal RNA
Source: RNAcentral
AAAAUCAAUGGGGGAAACCCUGAAGGAGCGACGCCGCGUGGAGGAUGAAGGUCUUCGGGUUGUAAACUCCUGUCAUUUGGGAACAAUGCGUAAAUAUUAACUGUAUUUGCGUUGAUAGUACCAGAAGAGGAAGAGACGGCUAACUCUGUGCCAGCAGCCGCGGUAAUACAGAGGUCUCAAGCGUUGUUCGGAUUCAUUGGGCGUAAAGGGUGCGUAGGCGGCGCGGUAAGUCGGGUGUGAAAUCUCGGGGCUUAACUCCGAAACUGCAUUCGAUACUACCGUGCUUGAGGACUGGAGAGGAGACUGGAAUUUACGGUGUAGCGGUGAAAUGCGUAGAUAUCGUAAGGAAGACCAGUGGCGAAGGCGGGUCUCUGGACAGUUCCUGACGCUGAGGCACGAAGGCBAGGGGAGCAAACGGGAUUAGAUACCCCGGUAGUCCUGGCAGUAAACGGUGCACGUUUGGUGUGGGAGGAUUCGACCCCUUCUGCGCCGGAGCUAACGCGUUAAACGUGCCGCCUGGGGAGUACGGUCGCAAGAUUAAAACUCAAAGAAAUUGACGGGGGCCCGCACAAGCGGUCGGAGUAUGUGGCUCAAUUCGAUGCAACGCGAAGAACCUUACCUGGCCUUUACAUGCAUCUCUAAGUUGGUGAAGCCAGCGAGUCCCGAAAGGGACAAUUUGCACAGGUGCUGCAUGGCUGUCGUCAGCUCGUGUCGUGAGAUGUUGGGGUAAGUCCCGCAACGAGAGCAACCCCUGUGAACUGUUGCCACCGAGCCGUGAGGGUCGAGCACUCUGKUCAGACUGCCCCGCUUUWACGGGGAGGAAGGUGGGGACGACGUCAAGUCAGUAUGGUCCUUACGGCCAGGGCUGCACACGUACUACAAUGCCCAGUACAAUACGWUCCGAGACCGCGAGGUGGAKKWAAUYAYUWAAACUGGGCCCAGUUCAGAUUGAAGUCUGCAACUCGACUUCAUGAAGCCGGAAUCGCU